RNAcentral lists this ribosomal RNA (352 nucleotides) under Dorippe quadridens. RNAcentral describes it as "partial 12S ribosomal RNA". Lineage: Eukaryota; Metazoa; Arthropoda; Malacostraca; Decapoda; Dorippidae. The record is from RNAcentral.
ACUAAUAUGAAAUUACAUGAAUCUUAUAUUAUUAAUAGUUAUUUACUUUAAAAUAAAAAAAUUUGGCAGUAAUUUAAUCUUAUUAGAGGAAUCUGUUUAAUAAUCGAUACAACACGUUUUAUCUUUCUUAUUUUUAUGGUUUGUAUACCGUCAUUAAGAUGAUUUUAAUAAAAAAUUAUUGAAAUAAAAAUAUUUUAAUAAAUUAGAUCAAGGUGCAGCGAAUAAAUAAGUUAAAAUGGAUUACAAUAAUUUUUAAUUAGUUGGAUAAGUUUUAGAAAUUUAAAGCUUGGAAAAUGGAUUUAAUAGUAUAUUUAAUAUAAUAUAUUAUAUAGAAAAAAGCUCUAAAUUAUGU